This 752-nucleotide ribosomal RNA is filed under the name uncultured Pseudomonadota bacterium. RNAcentral describes it as "bacterial SSU rRNA". It matches the Rfam family "Bacterial small subunit ribosomal RNA", at positions 28 to 769 of the family's 1533-position model. The record is from RNAcentral. Lineage: Bacteria; Pseudomonadati; Pseudomonadota.
AUUGAACGCUGGCGGCAGGCCUAACACAUGCAAGUCGAACGGUAACAGAAAGAAGCUUGCUUCUUUGCUGACGAGUGGCGGACGGGUGAGUAAUGUCUGGGAAACUGCCUGAUGGAGGGGGAUAACUACUGGAAACGGUAGCUAAUACCGCAUAACGUCGCAAGACCAAAGAGGGGGACCUUCGGGCCUCUUGCCAUCGGAUGUGCCCAGAUGGGAUUAGCUUGUUGGUGGGGUAACGGCUCACCAAGGCGACGAUCCCUAGCUGGUCUGAGAGGAUGACCAGCCACACUGGAACUGAGACACGGUCCAGACUCCUACGGGAGGCAGCAGUGGGGAAUAUUGCACAAUGGGCGCAAGCCUGAUGCAGCCAUGCCGCGUGUAUGAAGAAGGCCUUCGGGUUGUAAAGUACUUUCAGCGGGGAGGAAGGGAGUAAAGUUAAUACCUUUGCUCAUUGACGUUACCCGCAGAAGAAGCACCGGCUAACUCCGUGCCAGCAGCCGCGGUAAUACGGAGGGUGCAAGCGUUAAUCGGAAUUACUGGGCGUAAAGCGCACGCAGGCGGUUUGUUAAGUCAGAUGUGAAAUCCCCGGGCUCAACCUGGGAACUGCAUCUGAUACUGGCAAGCUUGAGUCUCGUAGAGGGGGGUAGAAUUCCAGGUGUAGCGGUGAAAUGCGUAGAGAUCUGGAGGAAUACCGGUGGCGAAGGCGGCCCCCUGGACGAAGACUGACGCUCAGGUGCGAAAGCGUGGGGAGC